AGAAUCAACGCUGGCGGCGUGCCUAACACAUGCAAGUCGCACGAGAAAGUGGAGCAAUCCAUGAGUAAAGUGGCGCACGGGUGAGUAACACGUGAAUAAUCUACCUCCGAGUGGGGAAUAACUGAGAGAAAUCUUAGCUAAUACCGCAUAAUACCCACGGGUCAAAGCAGCAAUGCGCUUGGAGAGGAGUUCGCGGCCGAUUAGUUAGUUGGCGGGGUAAUGGCCACCAAGACGAUGAUCGGUAUCCGGCCUGAGAGGGCGCACGGACACACUGGAACUGAAACACGGUCCAGACUCCUACGGGAGGCAGCAGUGGGGAAUUUUGCGCAAUGGGGGAAACCCUGACGCAGCAACGCCGCGUGGAGGAUGAAGCCCCUGGGGUGUAAACUCCUUUCGAUCGGGAAGAUAAUGACGGUACCGAUAUAAGAAGCCCGGCUAACUUCGUGCCAGCAGCCGC
RNAcentral lists this ribosomal RNA (457 nucleotides) under uncultured bacterium. RNAcentral's name for it is "SSU rRNA". It matches the Rfam family "Bacterial small subunit ribosomal RNA", at positions 26 to 518 of the family's 1533-position model. The record is from RNAcentral.